Molecule: transfer RNA, 73 nt
Filed under: Salmonella enterica subsp. enterica serovar Bredeney
Lineage: Bacteria; Pseudomonadati; Pseudomonadota; Gammaproteobacteria; Enterobacterales; Enterobacteriaceae
Description: tRNA-OTHER
Source: RNAcentral
AGGCUUGUAGCUCAGGUGGUUAGAGCGCACUGAUAAGGGUGAGGUCGGUGGUUCAGUCCACUCAGGCCUACCA